UGACCGUAGGUUGCCAUGGGCACGCCUACCAACACGUUCACUUCUUGUGGGCUUCCCGCCAAUGGACAAUUGAGAUAUGCCUCCAUCUAUGCAUGCAAAAGUUGAUCCAACGCUCGGUCUCCGGGUGCUACGAAACGCCACUCGUCGAGACUCUUAAUUCAUCGGAUGCGACUCAAUGCGGCUUUCACAGCUCAGUGGCGUUACCGCUUGCGACAAGUUGUCUCUCCCAGAUGCCGUCACUGCGGAUCACGCUUACAGCGUCUCUAAAUCAGCUGGACUAUACUCUCUCACUCUGUCAAAAUUGCCUGGUGCGAAAGCGGCUACCCCCAGUUCGGAACGGCGCACACCUGACGGCUGGCAUGAAGGUGUGACGUCGUAUUACACACGAAAAUGGCGCUUCUUUUGAAACGGCGAAACCGAAACCGAACGGUUAGUCGCAAUUAAUUACCAGUGUACUGUAACAAACCCAACUACACAAAAAACAAUAGUAGCGGGCUAUGAGAUUUGAACUUACGCAAGCAUUAUACACCCAACAUUAGAAAAGUUUCGGCCUCUCUGUGCAGAACUCCUUUAAAAUAAAGAUGUUGUUGUUGUUGC
Molecule: long non-coding RNA, 597 nt
Organism: Ornithodoros turicata
Lineage: Eukaryota; Metazoa; Arthropoda; Arachnida; Ixodida; Argasidae
Exons: 2
Source: RefSeq, a predicted model, not a curated record